AGGUCACUCAAGAAGACUUAUGGAGGGGCCCAAAUGAUGAGGAACUGAGGCUUUGUAUCAAUAGCUGGGUAGAAACUAAAGCCUCCUGCAAAUAGCCAUAUGAGUGAGCUAUUUUACAAGUGUUGCCUGCAGCCUCAGUCAAGUGUUGUUAAUUAUAGCCGUGGCCAACAUCUUGACUGCCACCUCAUGAAACACUCUGAGCCAGAACAACCCACUACACUACUCUUAUAGAAUCUUAAUUCUAAUCUACAGGAACAAUGCAAAGUAGUAGGCUCCACAGCCAACAUGGGACUUGAACUCACAACUCUGAGAUCAAGAGUCACAUGCUCUCUCUACUGACUGAGCCAGCCAGCAACCAGAAUGGAAACCAUUAAUCAUUCCUCAAGACUGUCAAGGUCAUGAAAAACAAAGUCCGAGAUACUAACAGACCAGAGGAAGCUAAGGACACAUGACGACUAGACCAGAGGAGACUAAAGAACAUAGCAACCAAAUGCAAAGGAAAAUUUGGUAAAAUCCAAAUAAAGUCUGGACUUUAGUUAAUAAAAAAGUGCUAA
This is a long non-coding RNA of Felis catus (domestic cat), 554 nucleotides long. RefSeq lists it as uncharacterized. The transcript has 3 exons. Lineage: Eukaryota; Metazoa; Chordata; Mammalia; Carnivora; Felidae. The record is from RefSeq and is a predicted model, not a curated record.